GAUGAAGAACGCAGCGAAAUGCGAUAAGUAAUGUGAAUUGCAGAAUUCAGUGAACCAUCGAAUCUUUGAACGCACAUUGCGCCCGCCAGUAUUCUGGCGGGCAUGCCUGUUCGAGCGUCAUUUCAACCAUCAAGCCCUGCUUGCGUUGGGGUCCUGCGGCUGCCCGCAGGCCCUGAAAACCAGUGGCGGGCUCGCUAGUCACACCGAGCGCAGUAAUACAUCUCGCUUUGGGCGUGCGGCGGGUUCUUGCCGUUAAACACCCCCUUUUUACCAAGGUUGACCUCGGAUCAGGUAGGAAUACCCGCUGAACUUAAGCAUAUCAAUAAGCGGAGGA
This 334-nucleotide unclassified non-coding RNA is filed under the name soil metagenome. RNAcentral's name for it is "partial contains 5.8S ribosomal RNA, internal transcribed spacer 2, and large subunit ribosomal RNA". The stretch from base 1 to 120 matches the Rfam family "5.8S ribosomal RNA", at positions 35 to 154 of the family's 154-position model. The record is from RNAcentral.